UUUGCGUGUAAACUUUGUAUUCAAUAUUACUCUUUUAACAAAUUUGAUAACAUCGUAUUUUUACCUAUUUUACCUGUUUGAUAUGUUUUCAAACGUAAAAACGUAUUUUAGGUUUCAAGAAGGUUUGGCAGGUUUUAAGGCAAAAUGGACAAAAGUUCAUGAUAGUUUCAGAGCUUCACAUUUUACGCAACUUUUGAAUAUUUUCCCGAACUGCUUAUUAAGCGUUCUUGGUGUUUAAGGAAAGCUGGAAGAAUGCAAAAUAAAAAUUCGAAUUUGGAAAGAAAAAAAAAAAAAAAAAAUCUUUUCUCCACUCGACAAGUUCGCCCUAGCCACUAUUGGUUUUGAUAGAGAAGGGCUUCUCUUUUUUGUUUCUCUCCAAUUUGUGGAGUCUUGUGGUUUGCUUCGAGUUUCUUUCUUGGGUUUGUAGUUGUGGUUGGAGGGGUCAUUUAUGUUGGGAGCUGUGGUUCAGAGAAGAUGCUAGUAAUUCCGGAUCUGAUAGAUUCACGGUGUGACUCGUAGCAUAAUGCAUCUUCUUUGUUGAUCCGUCCCUAGUCUGUUCCCGCUCAUGUUCUGUUCAUCAUGUUGAAGCCGUCAGUGGUGUUUAGUUGUGUGAUUGGGUUUUAUUCGCCCAGCCUUUGCCUUUGCUAUCACUCUUGAUCAACUCGUCCCACCUUUGAUUCCCUUAAGGUUCGUUCCCUUGCUAAGCUUAGGCUUUGUUUUGUUUGAAGACAUGUUAGCCAUCUUUGGUUGCAAUUAGUUCUUCUCAUUGUUGUUAUUCGCUGUGGUUGAUAACUUUCUCGUCAUCAUGCUUGUUUGAGCUCGGGAUUUUUAGAGGUUAGGCUUCGCUUCUUGUCUCUGCUUUACAUAUAUGUUGAGAUAUGAUUUCGUUUUGAAGGCUUCUACCUAGACGUUUAUGGACGCUGCAGUCGUCGUUGUUGCAUUCGAAGCGUAUUCGAGUUUUUCUUGCCGGGUUAUGAAGUCUUCUGGUUUCGAGAGAUUGGCUCUCAUUGUGAUAGGAGGUUGUUGAUGUUAUCAUCGGAUUGGCCAUGGGCAUUCUUGGUAAAUUUCUUCUACAAGUGCUUUAGAAGAAGAGGUAUUCUUGCUUCUUGAGACUAUUGUGUUAUAUAAGGGUUAAGCCUAAUUGUCUUUGUCUUUAGUUUAAGGGUUCAUCCUCUUUUUGGGUUUAAUUUUUCUGCUUUGUAAUUUUGUUGUUUUUCUUUAUGUUUCCGGAGACUUCUCUUUGUCUGCCGGCUUUGUUUCCCUUGUUUGGGCUUUAGACUCCGGGGAAAUCUUUGUCUUCCGCCCGCUUAAGUUGUAUUUCUCCUUGUAUCCCUCUUUGUUCUAUCAAUACUACCAGUUGAAAAAAAAA
Molecule: long non-coding RNA, 1369 nt
Filed under: Capsella rubella
Lineage: Eukaryota; Viridiplantae; Streptophyta; Magnoliopsida; Brassicales; Brassicaceae
Description: long non-coding RNA (CRUB_LNC002302)
Source: RNAcentral